Non-coding RNA from Thamnophis sirtalis, 121 nucleotides. NCBI's taxonomy places the organism in Eukaryota, Metazoa, Chordata, Lepidosauria, Squamata, Natricidae. The record is from RefSeq and is a predicted model, not a curated record.
AAAAGGUGAAAAUGGCGAUGUUGGUCCAAUGGGUCCCCCAGGUCCUCCUGGCCCUAGAGGCCCUCAAGGUCCAAGCGGAUCAGAUGGUCCUCAAGGUCCAUCAGGUUCAGCUGGCUCUGUU